UGCGUCGAGCGGCGGACGGGUGAGUAAUGCAUAGGAAUCUACCCAGUCGUGGGGGAUAACCUGAGGAAACUCAGGCUAAUACCGCAUACGUCCUACGGGAGAAAGCGGGGGCUCUUCGGACCUCGCGCGAUUGGAUGAGCCUAUGUCGGAUUAGCUAGUUGGUCAGGUAACGGCUUACCAAGGCGACGAUCCGUAGCUGGUCUGAGAGGAUGAUCAGCCACACCGGGACUGAGACACGGCCCGGACUCCUACGGGAGGCAGCAGUGGGGAAUAUUGGACAAUGGGCGAAAGCCUGAUCCAGCCAUGCCGCGUGUGUGAAGAAGGCUUUCGGGUUGUAAAGCACUUUCAGCGAGGAAGAAAGCGUGCCGGCCAAUACCCGGUACGGACGACAUCACUCGCAGAAGAAGCACCGGCUAACUCCGUGCCAGCAGCCGCGGUAAUACGGAGGGUGCAAGCGUUAAUCGGAAUUACUGGGCGUAAAGCGCGCGUAGGCGGCGUGUCACGCCGGGUGUGAAAGCCCCGGGCUCAACCUGGGAACGGCAUCCGGAACGGGCAGGCUAGAGUGCAGGAGAGGAAGGUAGAAUUCNCGGUGUAGCGGUGAAAUGCGUAGAGAUCGGGAGGAAUACCAGUGGCGAAGGCGGCCUUCUGGACUGACACUGACGCUGAGGUGCGAAAGCGUGGGUAGCAAACAGGAUUAGAUACCCUGGUAGUCCACGCCGUAAACGAUGUCGACUAGCCGUUGGGUCCCUUGAGGACUUAGUGGCGCAGUUUAACGCGAUAAGUCGACCGCCUGGGGAGUACGGCCGCAAGGUUAAACUUCAAAUGAAUUGACGGGGGCCCGCACAAGCGGGGAGCAUGUGGUUUAA
RNAcentral lists this ribosomal RNA (866 nucleotides) under Chromohalobacter canadensis. Its description in RNAcentral is "bacterial SSU rRNA". It matches the Rfam family "Bacterial small subunit ribosomal RNA", at positions 87 to 949 of the family's 1533-position model. The record is from RNAcentral. Lineage: Bacteria; Pseudomonadati; Pseudomonadota; Gammaproteobacteria; Oceanospirillales; Halomonadaceae.